RNAcentral lists this ribosomal RNA (370 nucleotides) under Salmonella enterica subsp. enterica serovar Bovismorbificans. RNAcentral describes it as "partial 23S ribosomal RNA". It matches the Rfam family "Bacterial large subunit ribosomal RNA", at positions 822 to 1190 of the family's 2925-position model. RNAcentral also lists the same sequence under 1 other name. The record is from RNAcentral. Lineage: Bacteria; Pseudomonadati; Pseudomonadota; Gammaproteobacteria; Enterobacterales; Enterobacteriaceae.
UGAAAGGCCAAUCAAACCGGGAGAUAGCUGGUUCUCCCCGAAAGCUAUUUAGGUAGCGCCUCGUGAAUUCAUCUCCGGGGGUAGAGCACUGUUUCGGCUAGGGGGCCAUCCCGGCUUACCAACCCGAUGCAAACUGCGAAUACCGGAGAAUGUUAUCACGGGAGACACACGGCGGGUGCUAACGUCCGUCGUGAAGAGGGAAACAACCCAGACCGCCAGCUAAGGUCCCAAAGUCAUGGUUAAGUGGGAAACGAUGUGGGAAGGCCCAGACAGCCAGGAUGUUGGCUUAGAAGCAGCCAUCAUUUAAAGAAAGCGUAAUAGCUCACUGGUCGAGUCGGCCUGCGCGGAAGAUGUAACGGGGCUAAACCAU